This 433-nucleotide ribosomal RNA is filed under the name uncultured bacterium. RNAcentral describes it as "partial 16S ribosomal RNA". It matches the Rfam family "Bacterial small subunit ribosomal RNA", at positions 29 to 507 of the family's 1533-position model. The record is from RNAcentral.
AGCGAACGCUGGCGGCAUGCCUAACACAUGCAAGUCGAACGAGACCUUCGGGUCUAGUGGCGCACGGGUGCGUAACGCGUGGGAACCUGCCUUUAGGUUCGGAAUAACUCAGAGAAAUUUGAGCUAAUACCGGAUGAUGUCUUCGGACCAAAGAUUUAUCGCCUUUAGAUGGGCCCGCGUUGGAUUAGCUAGUUGGUGGGGUAAAGACCUACCAAGGCGACGAUCCAUAGCUGGUCUGAGAGGAUGAUCAGCCACACUGGGACUGAGACACGGCCCAGACUCCUACGGGAGGCAGCAGUGGGGAAUAUUGGACAAUGGGCGAAAGCCUGAUCCAGCAAUGCCGCGUGAGUGAUGAAGGCCUUAGGGUUGUAAAGCUCUUUUACCCGAGAUGAUAAUGACAGUAUCGGGAGAAUAAGCUCCGGCUAACUCCGUG